Molecule: long non-coding RNA, 3168 nt
Organism: Megachile rotundata (alfalfa leafcutting bee)
Lineage: Eukaryota; Metazoa; Arthropoda; Insecta; Hymenoptera; Megachilidae
Source: RefSeq, a predicted model, not a curated record
GACAUGUAUCGAUACCGAACGCUUCUCGCGAUAUUUCAAACUAAUAUCGACAGAAAUGUCGAAACGAACAAUACGAUUGUUCGUUGUACUUGUUUCCAAUUUUCACUUCGAAACGAAUAAAUGCGCGUUUAAGAUUUAUAGCUGUACAAAUAUAACAAUAACAAAGGAAAAGAUGAUAAGAAAUAUUGUUUGAUUGAAAACAAGAUGAAAGAUGAAGAAACAAGUCGUAAGUGCCAUAAAUUCCGCGCGAAUAACGGCAUCGUUUCUGGCGAAUGCAAAGGUAAGAGUAGUGGAAUACGCACAAAUCCCAGACGUGGAAUUUCACGCUAAUUCCAAGGAAUUCCGUGCAUUGCAAAAAUGCGAAAUAUGGAAUUCCACAUUUAAUCAAAUUCCAAGGGUGGAGUACUCCACACAUUCUACGCACUCGAGUCGGCCCUUGUUACGAAGCGGAAGCAACGAAAGCUUGCUACUUCCGGUCUACGUUUCCUUCCAUUUCCUUUCUGGUCACAUAUCCUUCAUCUCUAAUUUAUUUACAACAAACAUCGAUAUUUUUAUGAAAUGACGCACAACCGAAAUUCAGAAUACAGGAUAUUUUGACUAACCUGUCCAUCUAUUAAAUUUAUUGAAGAACACUGUCUACCAUAUACCUACCUACUAGAAGAUCUGCGCAACUACCGAUUUAAUGCGAAGAAGCAAUUAUAUACCUUGCAAUCCGAAUGGUUGAAUAUUGCAAUCUGUGUUAUCGGCACUUGAAACAACUCUGACAUAAUGCUUAAAUUCGUCAUCACUUUAUCAAAACGCAAACGGUUUGCUGGAAAAUAAAUUUUUUUCCUCAACAGCAGACAAAACUUGCCGACUUACACAUGAUUUAAAAAAGGAAGUUACAAAAGUGAAUAAAUUUGAAUACAAUUCAGUAUAAAAUUAAAACUUCAGUAAAUAAAAUUCUUUUUUCAGGAAUGUAAAAGUCGUAACUAUUUUUCUAAAUGCGUACAGCAGGAUAAAAACAAGUAAAAUCAAAACAGAUUGGAAGAGUAGAAUCAACGGAUAAGCGUGCAUCAGAGGUUUCAGGAGAGCGUUUCGAGGGAUACGUUCCAACGGUGGGUCAGCAUCGACAAGGCUGUGUAUAGGUCCUUAUAUGGUAGCCGGUCGUAUGGCUGUAUAUAGAGAGAGCUCGAAAGAGGCUGAAUACGCAACCGUGGAACACGUUCGCGUCCUUUACGUAUCCACUCGUUGAAUAUUUCUUCUUUCCCUGUCUUUUGUACCCGUGUAGGAGUGUUGCAUCGAGUGCACGCGUACACAGAUACAACGUUGCGCGUAACGGUCAGAAAAUGAAGACCAGAAACAGCGAUUAAUCUUACAAUUGAUACACGCAAUUCGAACGUAACGUUUUGUAGAGAUAACCGCUUCAAAUCGCAUCCAUUGACGCUUUAAUUUUAGCAAUAUGUAACGAACAUGCAAAUACGGAGACUGUUACCGUUAAGUCGGUCGAUUUCACGAAAGCCAUGAAAGCACGUUCGAAAAUGUAUCUCAUUGGAUUGUCGCAACACGAAAGGAGAACUGAAAAUGUUCGGUACGCCAGUGUCCGGAGAAACCACGAUAAAUUCUACUUGAUCUCGCGAGGAGAAAAGAGGUCUGCAAGUUAAUAAGGAAACUAGGUUGCUCGCACCGACGCGCUAGCCGGUUUGCAGUACGCGUCGGUGUAUGCCACGCUUCGAUGCUUGUACUCAUCGCGAAAGAUCGUAACAUCACACAAGUCGGUAACCUAUCAUCCGAAAACAACGACCUUCAAGUAAUCUGUUAAACGCACGUGUCUGAAACUGAUCAACUAUUAUUUUCCGCAAGAAAGUCAACCAUGCUGUACACGAAAUUAUGCCGUGAUCUCGCCUGGUAACACGAGCGUAAAGGAUCCUCUUCAGCGGUCAAGAUUUCGUGAACAAGUACUACGGUAUACACUGCGAAUGAAUAGAGUUGAAGGGAACACCCUUUGACCCAAUCUCGUAGAUUGCAGAUUGCUUUCGUUACUACGCUUCAAAUUGACGAGCAACAAGGCUGAUGUAUUUAGUAUUUCUUCAUAACGUUCGAGGAGAUAACCUAAGGUCCUUGACUGCUCCGACCUUGAAGAUGCUCGAAAUCUCAGAGAUACUUCUCUUCCGUGAUGUGAAUGAAAUACAUGCGAAGGUCUAUGAUGCGUGUGCAUGUGUAGGUUCGUGUAAACGGGGUUGCAUCGGGGGAGCGGUCGACGGGUGGCAGACGGUUUCAUCGAUUGGCAAUGCGGGGGUCGAAGAGUGGGGUUCGUGAACCCCUCCCUCCCUGCUAUCUAUAUCUACUUUAUAACGUAUCGACGACCUCGGUUUUCAUGGUCAUGGGUAAAAAGAAACCGUUCUGACUCGAAGGGAGAGCUUGCCAGUCGGUAACGAGGAAUAUAUUUGUGCGCCUGAUGCGCAACGGAAAUGCAUUUGUCAAAACCACGCCCUUGUCGAAUCCUACCGUCCUACACUGGCGUGCACCGUAAAGCUUCUCUAGGGAAAAUGGCGAGAUGGGGGAAAAGACCACACCGGGCGUUGAUUUUUUAUUGAAAUUUGGAAAAUUCGGAGAUUUGCAUAUUUGGAAAUUUUCAACUUUAAUCUAAAAUCAAAGAUAAGUCUCUUGUUUUUAAAGGAAAACUAUAUCUGAGUAUAUCUGGAAACCGGAUGAUAGCUUUAGGGUAGCUACUCGAUUCUUUAUAUGUACAUGGCUUGUUCACUUUCGAAUUAACUCCCGUAUCAAGAUUUCCGGCGAAGGAUAAAAUGGAUGAUUCGAAAAUGAAAUGUAUAUAAAUAUAUAAAUGCACAGGACCUGUAUGGAGAUUUGACCACACCCCUCCAUUUUUGAUCAUUGAAUAAUAAACACGAUCGAUAUCGUUAAAAAUUAUUGGUCCGCGUUUAUCGGUCCGCUUGUUGAAGACAAACAGGAUGAGCAACGUAUCAACGAUGACCGCCUUCGGAUAGCUUUCAUAAUGUUAAAAACAUGUAUAUAUGUGCGAUUGUGCUACCGCCUUUCUUCAAUGUAGGAAGAAAGCCGGUCCCGGCGAAUGUACCGGUACAAUGACACCGAUACGAUUCUUUCACUCAAAGAAAAUUUAUCAGCGGACAAUUUAAACGGCGAGAUAGAAUGUAUCGCGCAAAGAGC